Molecule: ribosomal RNA, 495 nt
Filed under: uncultured bacterium
Lineage: Bacteria
Description: partial 16S ribosomal RNA
Rfam family: Bacterial small subunit ribosomal RNA
Source: RNAcentral
GACGAACGCUGGCGGCGUGCCUAAUACAUGCAAGUAGAACGCUGAAGGAGGAGCUUGCUUCUCUGGAUGAGUUGCGAACGGGUGAGUAACGCGUAGGUAACCUGCCUGGUAGUGGGGGAUAACUAUUGGAAACGAUAGCUAAUACCGCAUAAUAGCAGUUGUUGCAUGAUAACUGUUUGAAAGGUGCAAUUGCACCGCUACCAGAUGGACCUGCGUUGUAUUAGCUAGUUGGUGGGGUAACGGCUCACCAAGGCGACGAUACAUAGCCGACCUGAGAGGGUGAUCGGCCACACUGGGACUGAGACACGGCCCAGACUCCUACGGGAGGCAGCAGUAGGGAAGCUUAGGCAAAGGACGGAAGUCUGACCGAGAAACGCCGCGUGAGGGAAGAAGGUUUUCGGAUCGUAAAGCUCUGUUGUAAGAGAAGAACGAGUGUGAGAGUGGAAAGUUCACACUGUGACGGUAGCUUACCAGAAAGGGACGGCUAACUACGUG